This 258-nucleotide ribosomal RNA is filed under the name uncultured bacterium. RNAcentral's name for it is "partial small subunit ribosomal RNA". It matches the Rfam family "Bacterial small subunit ribosomal RNA", at positions 26 to 285 of the family's 1533-position model. The record is from RNAcentral.
AGGACGAACGCUGGCGGCGUGCUUAACACAUGCAAGUCGAGCGGUAAGGCUCCUUCGGGGGGUACACGAGCGGCGAACGGGUGAGUAACACGUGGGUGACCUGCCCUCAGCUCUGGGAUAAGCCUGGGAAACCGGGUCUAAUACCGGAUAGGACUGCUUGCCGCAUGGUGGGUGGUGGAAAGUUUUUUCGGCUGGGGAUGGGCCCGCGGCCUAUCAGCUUGUUGGUGGGGUGAUGGCCUACCAAGGCGGUGACGGGUA